GACGGACGCUGGCGGCAUGCCUAACACAUGCAAGUCGAACGGAGAAUGUCAAAUGAAGUUUUCGGAUGGAUUUUGAUAUUCUUAGUGGCGGACGGGUGAGUAACGCGUGAGCAACCUGCCUUUCAGUGGGGGACAACAGUUGGAAACGACUGCUAAUACCGCAUAAUGUUAUUUAGGGGCAUCCCUGAAUAACCAAAGCUUUAUGUGCUGAAAGAUGGUCUCGCGUCUGAUUAGCUAGAUGGCGGGGUAACGGCCCACCAUGGCGACGAUCAGUAGCCGGUCUGAGAGGAUGAACGGCCACAUUGGGACUGAGAUACGGCCCAGACUCCUACGGGAGGCAGCAGUGGGGAAUAUUGGGCAAUGGGGGAAACCCUGACCCAGCAACGCCGCGUGAAGGAAGAAGGGCCUUCGGUUGUAAACUUCUUUACCUAGGACGAACACAAUAGACGGUACCGUACGG
Molecule: ribosomal RNA, 460 nt
Filed under: uncultured bacterium
Lineage: Bacteria
Description: bacterial SSU rRNA
Rfam family: Bacterial small subunit ribosomal RNA
Source: RNAcentral